GAUACGGUGGCGGCGGCGGCUAUGGAGGUGGCAGACGUGAGGGUGGCUACAGCGGUGGUGGCUACGGUGGUAGUUAUGGAGGUGGCCGUGACCGUGGAUAUGGUGGAGGUUAUGGCGGUGGUGAUGGUGGGUCCCGCUACUCAAGAGGUGGUGGUGCGUCCGAGGGAAGCUGGAGGAAUUAAUAAGAUUCUGAAACUGGGUUUGAUUGUGUCAAAUAUAUGUCCUCCUUUAGAUAGUUUUUUUUUUAAAAAAUAAAAAUAAAAAUUUGGUGAUUAUGUUUCUGGGUUGGGUAAGAGUCUAUUUUUGAUACUGUAUUUCGUGUUACUGUUCUGGUUUCUCGCUAUCGGUUCUCGUUAUGUUACUGUGUGGAUCUGUACUUACAAGGUUAAAUGAAAGUUA
Molecule: long non-coding RNA, 399 nt
Filed under: Nicotiana tabacum (common tobacco)
Lineage: Eukaryota; Viridiplantae; Streptophyta; Magnoliopsida; Solanales; Solanaceae
Description: long non-coding RNA (NTAB_LNC009377)
Source: RNAcentral